UACAAGGUCUAAGCCCAGUGCCAAAGGAGGAAUUUAAAAGUUUAAAAGUAUUGUUUACAUACAUUUAUUUCAGCUAAUUUGUGGUGCAGGAGGGAAACCAGUGACCCCAUCGUCAGAUGAUUUGCGUUCACAUUCUCUCUCUGAUAACACCUCAGUUACUUUGCUCCUGGGCUUUGGUUUGCUCAUCUAUAAAAUGGGAAGAUUGGACCCCUGAAAGACUUUCCAGCACUACCUCCAUGAUUUAAUGAUGAUACAAUUGUAAAUGAUUAUUUCUUUUAAAAUUUGCUUUUUAGGCGAACAUUCUUUAAUGAUAAUAAUAAUGAUUAUAACUAGCAUAUAUGUAGCCCUUUAUGGUUUGCAAAGUCCUUUACAUAUGUUAUCUCAUUUGAUACCCACAGAAAGGUACUGUUAUCAUCUCCAUUUUCCAGAUGAGGAAACUGAGACCAAGAAAUGUUUCUGUUUUUCCUUUUGUAUCUCUAGCUCUGAACAACAUGCCUGGUGCUCAGUUAAUAAACAUUCAUUAAAGACCUACUGUGGACUGGAUGGUGUGCCAGGCACUGGAGAUAGAAAGACAAAAAUGGGAACAAACCCCUGCCCUCAACAAGGGCAAUUGUAUUGUAUGGUAAGUCUGCAUUUUGAUGUCUAUCUGCAAUGGUGUUGUCCAUUUUCCAACUGGAGGCUACCAAGGAACAAAGAUACUCUGGACUGA
RNAcentral lists this long non-coding RNA (709 nucleotides) under Monodelphis domestica (gray short-tailed opossum). RNAcentral's name for it is "lncRNA (ENSMODG00000050099.1)". The record is from RNAcentral. Lineage: Eukaryota; Metazoa; Chordata; Mammalia; Didelphimorphia; Didelphidae.